GACGAACGCUGGCGGCGUGCUUAACACAUGCAAGUCGAACGAAGUGGCGAACGGGUGAGUAACGCGUAAACAACCUGCCCUUCAGCGGGGGACAACAGUUGGAAACGACUGCUAAUCCCGCAUACUGAAGGAGGGGAUUGCGUCUGAUUAGCUAGUUGGCGGGGUAACGGCCCACCAAGGAGAUGAUCAGUAGCCGGGUUGUGAGGAGUAACGGCCACAUUGGGACUGAGACACGGCCCAGACGCCUACGGGAGGCAUCAGUGGGGAAUCUUCCGCAAUGGACGAAAGUCUGACGGAGCAACGCCGCGUGAGUGAUGACGGCCUUCGGGUUGUAAAGCUCUGUUAAUCGGGACGCGGUACCGGAAUAGAAAGCCACGGCUAACAACGUGCCAGCAGCCGCGGUAAUUC
Molecule: ribosomal RNA, 408 nt
Filed under: uncultured bacterium
Lineage: Bacteria
Description: partial 16S ribosomal RNA
Rfam family: Bacterial small subunit ribosomal RNA
Source: RNAcentral